RNAcentral lists this ribosomal RNA (301 nucleotides) under uncultured bacterium. RNAcentral describes it as "partial 16S ribosomal RNA". It matches the Rfam family "Bacterial small subunit ribosomal RNA", at positions 509 to 807 of the family's 1533-position model. The record is from RNAcentral.
CAGUAGCCGCGGUAAUACGGAGGGUGCAAGCGUUAAUCGGAAUUACUGGGCGUAAAGCGCACGCAGGCGGUUUGUUAAGUCAGAUGUGAAAUCCCCGAGCUUAACUUGGGAACUGCAUUUGAAACUGGCAAGCUAGAGUCUUGUAGAGGGGGGUAGAAUUCCAGGUGUAGCGGUGAAAUGCGUAGAGAUCUGGAGGAAUACCGAUGGCGAAGGCAGCCAUCUGGCCUAAUACUGACGCUGAGGUACGAAAGCAUGGGGAGCAAACAGGAUUAGAUACCCGUGUAGUCCCUGUCUCUUAUAC